Molecule: ribosomal RNA, 894 nt
Filed under: uncultured archaeon
Lineage: Archaea
Description: bacterial SSU rRNA
Rfam family: Archaeal small subunit ribosomal RNA
Source: RNAcentral
CCCGACUGCUAUUUGGGUGAGGAUAAGCCAUGCGAGUUGAAUGGGAUACCUAAGGUUCCCAUGGCAAACUGCCCAGUAACACAUGAUCAACUUACCCUAUAGAGAAAAAUAACCUCGGGAAACUGAGGAUAAUGUUUCAUAGUUGAAUUGGCUUGGAAAAGUUUUUCGACGAAAGGGGUAAAAAAAAUGGUUUUUAUCUGCUAUAGGAUAGGAUCGUGUUCGAUUAUGGUUGUUGGUGAGGUAAUGGCUCACCAAGCCGAUAAUCGAUAGGGGCCGUGAGAGCGGGAGCCCCGAGAUGGGUACUGAGACAACGACCCAGGCCUUACGAGGCGCAGCAGGCGCAAAACCUCCGCAAUACACGAAAGUGUGACGGGGUUACCCAAAGUGUUCAUUAGAACUGUGGUAGGUGAGUAAUGUUCCCUACUAGAAAGGAGAGGGCAAGGCUGGUGCCAGCCGCCGCGGUAAUACCAGCUCUCCGAGUGGUAGGGAUGAUAUUGGGCUUAAAGCGUCCGUAGCCGGCUUAGCAAGUCUCCUGUUAAAUUCAGCGACCUAAUCGUUGAGCCGCGGGAGAUACUACUAGGCUAGGAGGCGGGAGAGGUCGACGGUACUUCUGGGGUAGGGGUGAAAUCCUAUAAUCCCGGAAGGACCACCAGUGGCGAAGGCUGUUGACUAGAACGCGCUCGACGGUGAGGGACGAAAGCUGGGGGAGCGAACCGGAUUAGAUACCCGGGUAGUCCCAGCCGUAAACGAUGCGGGCUAGGUGUUGGGGUGGCUACGUGCCACUUCAAUGCCGCAGGGAAGCCAUUAAGCCCGCCGCCUGGGGAGUACGGCCGCAAGGCUGAAACUUAAAGGAAUUGGCGGGGAAGCACCACAAGGGGUGAAGCCUGCGGUUCA